Long non-coding RNA from Calypte anna (Anna's hummingbird), 286 nucleotides. RefSeq lists it as uncharacterized. The transcript has 3 exons. Lineage: Eukaryota; Metazoa; Chordata; Aves; Apodiformes; Trochilidae. The record is from RefSeq and is a predicted model, not a curated record.
GAGAAGUACCCUACACCUGCAAAGUGCAAGAUGGCUCAGGAAGCAGCACUGUGCUCCUGCCCUGUGAUCCUCCACCUGCCUGAUGGGACCAUGCAGGGAACAGCUGGGAAGAAAAUAACACCCAGAGUUGGAUCAGAACUGAGAGGAGUAAGAAGCCAGGAAAGGAAAUCCCUCUCAGGGUGACAGCUCAGCAAAUGCUUGUUCCCCUGCAGGGACACAUCCAGCACAGGGACAGCUGGCACCCCCCAGGGAAGGAAUUCAAGGCUGCUAAAUAAAUAGGGAUUGC